Molecule: long non-coding RNA, 764 nt
Filed under: Homo sapiens (human)
Lineage: Eukaryota; Metazoa; Chordata; Mammalia; Primates; Hominidae
Description: HSALNT0349271
Source: RNAcentral
UUGGUGAAGAUGCAAAGGACAUUUUUUCCCCUAGAUUGAUCUGUAUAUCAAGGAAAAGUGGAGCCCAGACAAUUUCUGUAAUAACUUCUGGAGGGGCUCAUUUGUCUCAUGUCGCACAGUAUGGUUUUUGUGAGAGAAACAGAAGUGAGGAGGGAAGAAGAGAGGGAAGAAGAAGGAAUCCCUUAAUGUUCUUUGCCAUCAUGGCCUAUCCAGCUUUCAUCCAGCUUUUAAGGGAAACUAAUAUCUCAUGAAAUUGUGAGGGCCUGGAAUCUUCAAAGAGCCAAGGAUUCUGCCAGACUGAGCAAUAGACUUGAUGAGCAUUCUCCACUUAAGAUCUGAACUAUGAGAAGUCGAAUCAAAGCAGUUCUUUUGUAAUUCCAAACAGCCAUUUAGACAUAUGAAGAAAUGAAAGUAAAGCAGUUCUAAAGACAAGGAAGAGGGUCAAUGAAAGGUGCUCCCAAUGCAAUCACAAAGAUCUUUAAAAGUGGAAGAAGGUGGGAGAGGUCAGAGUGAUACGAAGAGAACUCAGUCUACCACUGCUGGCUUUGAAGAUGGAAGAAUGGGGCUAUGAGCCCUGGAUUGCGGGCAGCCUGCAGAAGCUGGGGCAGAGAUUCCACACAGGCACCUCUAGAAAAUAAUGCAGCCAGCCAAUCCUUAGACUUUAUCCCAGUGAGAGUCAAGUUGGACUUCUGACCUACAAAAGAGUAAAUAUCUAAAUUAUCUGUGGCAACAACUUGGUGGGGUCAACUCGAAUGUUUUUGUCG